This 2177-nucleotide long non-coding RNA is filed under the name Takifugu rubripes (torafugu). RNAcentral describes it as "lncRNA (ENSTRUG00000026683.1)". Lineage: Eukaryota; Metazoa; Chordata; Actinopteri; Tetraodontiformes; Tetraodontidae. The record is from RNAcentral.
GGGAUAUAAAGGAGAGAGAUGGGAUAAUGUAAGAACCACAGUGGUGUGUCAGAGUAGAACCAGCUUCCAUCACACCAGUGAAACCAGUGACCCUAGCCGGAGCUUGGAGAGAGCUACAGCAGGGUUAAGAAGACCAGCAGCUGAACUAACAGACGGUAACCAAGGAAACCUUUCUGCCAGCAACAGUAACCCUGUGAACGACACUUCAAAUCCAGUACAGCAGAUGGAUCCCGUUGCCAUGGAGAUUAGCUCAUCCCCACCAAUGACAGACCUGGAAAGAGAAAACAUUGUUAGCUGGCACAGUGAAGAAGUCCAAGAACUCCAUUACCCAGAGGAUCCAGAGAUGCAGCAGCCAAUAAAAGACCAGCAGGAGGAAGAGGAGGCUGAAGCUGAUGGAGAAGAGUGUGACUAUCUUGUUUUUGAGAUUGGAGCAAAGGAAGAAAGGGACAGUGAUGGGGAAGAGAUGGAAAGAGAAGCACAGGAGGAAGGUGAUAAAGAUACAGGAAGAAGGGGAGAUGUAGACAGACAAAACGAGGCAGAAAGAGAGAACAUUGUAGAUCUAAGCUAUACAUGUGAAGGAAAAGAAGAGGAUGGAGAGAUGAUGGGAACAGUAGAAGCUGAUGCUGGGGCAGAGCCACUUAUCCCCUCUAAUGGGCCUUCAACCCCCUCACCUCCGGAACAGCUGAUGGAAACUAGAAUUUCAGAGAAUCUAAAGGUCACAGACCAAGACGACCUUGGCGACUGCCUCCAGGCCGAGCUUGCUGUUGUGUACUCGGACAGUGACACAGGGGACGACCAGUGGGCUUCCCUUACUGCCUGUGAUGUCUUACACCAGAAUGAUGGAGCUGUAGAACUUUCUGACAUCAUUUGUGAUGGAGAGAACAGAGAAGAGGGAGGAAGAAGAGAGGAGUUGCAGAGAGGACGAUUUUGAUGAUCAGAUGACAUCGAGGACGGGCGUGCUCAUGAGAUCGCCUUCAUUUAGCUCGACAGCCAGUUCUACAGACCCUGACAAGAGGAUCCCUGUAGAUUUCUGUGUCCAACAAGACACCCUCAGUGAGAACGUCUCCACUGAGCACGUGGACUUUCUCUUGGCCCGCCAACAAUGGAGGAAAAUGGAGGAGGAGGUUCGAGGACAUCCCAUCCCUAAACCAGGCCUGAGAGCUCAGGGGAGCUUCCAGGGCACCCACUCUACAUUGUACCCACCGACCCGCAGUCCCCGGCUGAAACACAGGGAGAUCCAUUCACCAAUUCCUAAGGAGCCCCCACUCUCAUCCACCAUGUCCCCCAGCUCUGAGGACUCAGGUCUGGAUGACCUGUCAUACCGAAGCCCCCUGGAGGAGCCGGAGACAGCAGUAGAGAGAGAGAUCCGGCUGACUUUAGAGAGAGAGGCGCGACACCGCAGGGAGAGAGGGAUAGUGGCACAAGGCCUAACUAUUCCCAGGCCCUCCACCCUGCAGACCGGACGAGCUCCUCCCAGACCUCCAGCCUGUCGUACCCCAUCUUUAUCUGUCUCCCCGUCCCCUUCCUCCUCUUCUCCUCUUCCCAGAUCUGUGUACCAUGAGAUGACAGCCAACAAUGUCAUUAUUCUGGAGCCCGACUGCUCUGCCUCCACUUCCAGGAACCGCAUGCUUUCCACUGCUGGGGGCCCAUUAAGCCUGGACACUGUGUCAUCUGCCAAUGUCAUUGUUGUGGAAACCUCCAAUCUGAUCAUUCGCAGCGCUUCAGAAUUCUGUCUAAGCUCUGCUCCCGUGUCCAUUGAAGCCCAGGAAAGCACUUUCACAUCAAACCCAUUUUUCAAGCUGCGAUCUCUUAGUAGCCAGUCUCUGGUAGAGCAAGAGAUUCGGGUAGUAAGGCAGAGGGAAGAGGAGUGGAAGAGGCAGAGGGAGGAGAUGUGGAGACGGAGGAGGGAGGAUGAGUGGAGGAGAGGAAAAGAGAGGUAUGAUACCGUGUUGGUGUCUCCUAGCCUGAGUGAUGCCGUCAGUUUCAAUGUGCCAGAGGUUCCAGACAGAUGUGUCUCCUCUCCAUCAUCCCCCUCUAGGACCCGAAAAAUAGAACGAUCCAGUUUGUCGUGUGACCAUAAGGUUAGCAGCCACGUGUGCAGCAAUUAUACUCAUAUUAGGAACAGUAUCAAAUGCAUUGGCUCAUUAAGUCACUCAUUCAUUUAUGUAUUUAUUUAG